This 301-nucleotide ribosomal RNA is filed under the name uncultured bacterium. RNAcentral's name for it is "partial 16S ribosomal RNA". It matches the Rfam family "Bacterial small subunit ribosomal RNA", at positions 509 to 809 of the family's 1533-position model. The record is from RNAcentral.
CAGCCGCCGCGGUAAUACAGAGGCCUCAAGCGUUGUUCGGAUUCAUUGGGCGUAAAGGGUGCGUAGGUGGCUUGGUAAGUUGAAGGUGAAAUCUCGGGGCUUAACCCCGAAACUGCCUUCAAUACUGCUAGGCUCGAGGACUGUAGAGGAGAAUGGAAUUCACGGUGUAGCAGUGAAAUGCGUAGAUAUCGUGAGGAAGACCAGUGGCGAAGGCGAUUCUCUGGGCAGUUCCUGACACUGAGGCACGAAGGCCAGGGGAGCAAACGGGAUUAGAUACCCCCGUAGUCCCUGUCUCUUAUAA